This 211-nucleotide long non-coding RNA is filed under the name Elaeis guineensis (African oil palm). Its description in RNAcentral is "long non-coding RNA (EGUI_LNC022846)". The record is from RNAcentral. Lineage: Eukaryota; Viridiplantae; Streptophyta; Magnoliopsida; Arecales; Arecaceae.
UGGAACACCCAUCAUGUAUUCCCAGACAUUUAAUGGUAAUAGAAGCGGCCUCUUUCACAAUCCAUUAAUUUUACAUAUGAAUUAAUUAUAAAAAAUUAUAAAUUAAUCCUGAUUUACAUAUGAAUAAUCCAUUAAUUUGACCAAUACGAUACAAAUUUACAAUUACAGUCAUGUUCUAGGAUCUUGGAAACAACCAACCAUCCAUGUAAAG